GAUGCACCUUCCCAGAGAUCCUUGAGAAGAAUGGUGUGAAAUUCGGUGAGGCAGUGUGGUUCAAGGCUGGUGCACAGAUCUUCUCUGAGGGAGGGCUUGACUAUUUGGGGAACCCAAACCUAGUCCAUGCUCAGAGCAUUCUUGCCAUCUGGGCUGUUCAGGUUGUGCUGAUGGGGUUUGUUGAAGGGUACAGAGUUGGUGGAGGACCUCUUGGUGAAGGCCUAGACCCUGUCUACCCUGGAGGUUCCUUUGACCCUCUUGGUCUUGCUGAUGACCCUGAUGCAUUUGCUGAGUUGAAGGUCAAGGAACUCAAGAAUGGUAGAUUGGCCAUGUUCUCCAUGUUUGGUUUCUUUGUUCAGGCCAUUGUCACUGGCAAGGGCCCUAUUCAGAACCUCUACGACCAUGUUGCUGACCCUGUUGCCAACAAUGCUUGGGCUUAUGCCACCAACUUUGUCCCUGGACAAUGAUCAUGUCUUUUUAGAUGCAAUGCAAUCUUCUGCUCCUGAAGAAUCUGCAUGAGAACAAUUAUAUAUAUCCCUGAAAUAUCAAACUCUUGACUUGUGUUGUUAUAUGGUUUUCUAUUUUCCACAUAACCUGAACUGAACAAACUUUUCCUAAAUGUUAAUUAGUUCAAACAUUGAAACCAUGUUGAAGGAAUCUAUCAGUGAUGUACCAAGAACACCAUCCAACGAUUAAG
This 697-nucleotide long non-coding RNA is filed under the name Phaseolus vulgaris (common bean). RNAcentral describes it as "long non-coding RNA (PVUL_LNC001936)". The record is from RNAcentral. Lineage: Eukaryota; Viridiplantae; Streptophyta; Magnoliopsida; Fabales; Fabaceae.